Molecule: non-coding RNA, 24 nt
Filed under: Cricetulus griseus (Chinese hamster)
Lineage: Eukaryota; Metazoa; Chordata; Mammalia; Rodentia; Cricetidae
Source: RNAcentral
CUUGGGGGUGGAGGACUGUCUCUG